This 495-nucleotide long non-coding RNA is filed under the name Homo sapiens (human). Its description in RNAcentral is "HSALNT0321935". Lineage: Eukaryota; Metazoa; Chordata; Mammalia; Primates; Hominidae. The record is from RNAcentral.
CGAGGGGGUGGGGAGGCUCAGGCAUGGCGGGCUGCAGGUCCCGAGCCCUGCCCCUCUGGAAGGCAGCUAAGGCCCGGCGACAAAUUGAGCACAGCAGCUGCUGGCCCAGGUGCUAAGCCCCUCACUGCCCGGGCCAGUGGGGCCGGCCGGCUGCUCCGAGUGCGGGGUCCGCCGAGCCCACGCCCACCCGGAACUCGCGCUGGCUCGCAAGCACCGCGCGCAACCCCGGUUCCCGCCCGUGCCUCUCCCUCCACACCUCCCCGGAAGCUGAGGGAGCCGGCUCCGGCCUUGGCCAGCCCAGCAAGGCGCUCCCACAGUGCAACGGCGGGCUGAAGGGGCUCCUCAAGUGCCGCCAAAGCGGGAGCCCAGGCAGAGGAGACGCCCAGAGCCAGCGAGGGCUGUGAGGACUGCCAGCACACUGUCACCUCUCAGUAACAUGGUCCCAGAUAAUAAUUAGGAAAACAAAUCAGGACCGAAACUCCAGAGAGUCAGAAA